GCUUGCUUUGAAACAGCAAAGCGGGAGAAGAGCCGCUGAGUGGGGAGGAGAGAGGGACAGAAAGCCUGCUUGCUUUAAAGGAGCAAAGCAGGAGAGGAGAGGAGCCGCUUACGCUCGUGUUGGCUCCUUUAAAGCAAGCAGGCUCUCUGUCCCUCUCUCCUCCCCACUCAGCUGGCUAAAUAGCAGCAAAGUUUUUCAGUGAG
Molecule: non-coding RNA, 203 nt
Organism: Podarcis lilfordi (Lilford's wall lizard)
Lineage: Eukaryota; Metazoa; Chordata; Lepidosauria; Squamata; Lacertidae
Source: the annotation of a GenBank genome assembly